RNAcentral lists this ribosomal RNA (301 nucleotides) under uncultured bacterium. RNAcentral describes it as "partial 16S ribosomal RNA". It matches the Rfam family "Bacterial small subunit ribosomal RNA", at positions 509 to 807 of the family's 1533-position model. The record is from RNAcentral.
CAGCAGCCGCGGGAAUACGAAGGGUGCAAGCGUUAAUCGGAAUUACUGGGCGUAAAGCGUGCGUAGGCGGUGAGUUAAGUCUGUUGUGAAAUCCCCGGGCUCAACCUGGGAAUGGCAAUGGAUACUGGCAAGCUAGAGUGUGUCAGAGGAUGGUGGAAUUCCCGGUGUAGCGGUGAAAUGCGUAGAGAUCGGGAGGAACAUCAGUGGCGAAGGCGGCCAUCUGGGACAACACUGACGCUGAGGCACGAAAGCGUGGGGAGCAAACAGGAUUAGAUACCCCUGUAGUCCCUGUCUCUUAUAC